UGAUUCCAAGCCUCGUUUUUAAUGAUUUUUACGUUUUUGAGAUCCCGGUAACUCGAUAAAGCUUAUGUUAGCAAUAAUUUAACCUAGGGUUUAUAUUUGGAAAAAUACCCAUAGGUGAAAUUUGUGUAUUUUGAUGUUUUAUGAUAGAAGAUGAAGUUUUAAAUUAUGUUAGACAACUUGUACUACUCGAUUUUAAGCAAAAACGAGUAAAAGGGCUUAAUUGGUAAAAAUACCUAAUAGUC
This 242-nucleotide long non-coding RNA is filed under the name Gossypium barbadense (sea-island cotton). Its description in RNAcentral is "long non-coding RNA (GBAR_LNC001662)". Lineage: Eukaryota; Viridiplantae; Streptophyta; Magnoliopsida; Malvales; Malvaceae. The record is from RNAcentral.